Molecule: ribosomal RNA, 1263 nt
Filed under: Lynceus magdaleanae
Lineage: Eukaryota; Metazoa; Arthropoda; Branchiopoda; Diplostraca; Lynceidae
Description: SSU rRNA
Source: RNAcentral
AUAUGCUUGUCUCAAAGAUUAAGCCAUGCAUGCUAAGUACAAAUCUUGACGAUGAAACCGCGAAUGGCUCAUUAAAUCAGGUUAUGGUUCCUUAGAUCGUACUAUCCUACUUGGAUAACUGUGGUAAUUCUAGAGCUAAUACAUGCAACUAAGCCCUGACCUCACGGAAAGGGUGCUUUUAUUAGAUCAAAACCAMUCGGACUUCGGUCCGUCCAUUUUGGUGACUCUGAAUAACCUGAGUAGAUCGCACGGUCUCGUACCGGCGMCGCAUCUUUCAAMUGUCUGCCUUAUCAACUGUCGAUGGUAGGUUAUGCGCCUACCAUGGUUGCAACGGGUAACGGGGMAUCAGGGUUCGAUUCCGGAGAGGGAGCCUGAGAAACGGCUACCACAUCCACGGAAGGCAGCAGGCGCGCAAAUUACCCACUCCCAGCACGGGGAGGUAGUGACGAAAAAUAACGAUGCGGGACUCAUCCGAGGCCCCGUGMUUGGAAUGAGUACACUUUAAAUCCUUUAACGAGGAYCCAKUGGAGGGCAAGUCUGGUGCCAGCAGCCGCGGUAACUCCAGCUCCAAUAGCGUAUAUUAAAGUUGUUGCGGUKAAAAAGCUCGUAGUUGGAUUCCUGUUGCGAGCAGGCGGUGCCGUCUAUGGCGUGCACUGCCUGGCUCGGACAAUUCAUCGGACUGUUCGGGGUGCUCUUAACCGGGUGUCCCGAGUGGCCGAUACGUUUACUUUGAACAAAUUAGAGUGCUUAAAGCAGGUGCACUGCGCCUGAAUAUCACAGCAUGGAAUGAUGGAAUAGGACCUCGGUCUUAUUUUGUUGGUUUUCUGGACCCGAGGUAAUGGUUAAUAGAGACAGACGGGGGCAUUCAUACUGCGACGCUAGAGGUGAAAUUCUUGGACCGUCGCAAGAUGAACAACUGCGAAAGCAUUUGCCAAGAAUGUUUUCAUUAAUCAAGAACGAAAGUUAGAGGUUCGAAGGCGAUCAGAUACCGCCCUAGUUCUAACCAUAAACGAUGCCAACCAGCGAUGCGCCAMAGUUACUCCAAUGACUUGGCGUGCAGCUUCCGGGAAACCAAAGUCUUUGGGUUCCGGGGGAAGUAUGGUUGCAAAGCUGAAACUUAAAGGAAUUGACGGAAGGGCACACCAGGAGUGGAGCCUGCGGCUUAAUUUGACUCAACACGGGAAACCUCACCAGGCCCGGACACUGGAAGGAUUGACAGAUUGAGAGCUCUUUCUUGAUUCGGUGGGUGGUGGUGCAUGGCCG